UCUGGGUCAACUCGGAGGAAGGUGGGGAUGACGUCAAAUCAUCAUGCCCCUUAUGUCUUGGGCUUCACGCAUGCUACAAUGGCCGGUACAAAGGGUUGCGAUACUGUGAGGUGGAGCUAAUCCCAAAAAGCCGGUCUCAGUUCGGAUUGGGGUCUGCAACUCGACCCCAUGAAGUCGGAGUCGCUAGUAAUCGCAGAUCAGCAACGCUGCGGUGAAUACGUUCCCGGGCCUUGUACACACCGCCCGUCAAGUCACGAAAGUUGGUAACACCCGAAGCCGGUGGCCUAACCCUUUUGGGAGGGAACC
Molecule: ribosomal RNA, 306 nt
Filed under: Vibrio vulnificus
Lineage: Bacteria; Pseudomonadati; Pseudomonadota; Gammaproteobacteria; Vibrionales; Vibrionaceae
Description: bacterial SSU rRNA
Rfam family: Bacterial small subunit ribosomal RNA
Source: RNAcentral